ACCAAGCUCAGCUUACAUUUUCCGUCAAAGACCGGAGAGUUCACGUGUUUAUCAUCACGGGGCAUCUGUGACCACUCCGCAGCUGGGGCACGAAUCUGCCCAGCCCUGCUGUUGUAGCACAAAAGCAGCCAUAGACAAAAGCUGAACAGACAGACAUGGCUGCGUGACAAGGAAACUUCAUUUACAAAAACAGCAACUAAUGAGGGUUAGGCCCAAGGCCACAGCGUGCCAACCUUGUUCCUUCAGAGUGGGAAGAGCUGAGCUGAAUCUGUGAAGGACACAGAAGGUUUAAACAGGUUGAAGAGAGGAAGGAGAGAAAAGUGGGGAAAAGAACAGAAGUAGCAGUCGGGCCAGGGCAUGCACCUGCCAUGGUAGCCUCACCUGGAAAAGGGAUUCCCUCCUCUCUGCUUGUCCAGCCCGCUCUCCACUACGAAUUUACCACUCUGGUGUCGUCUCGGAGCAUGUGAUGAGAGAGUGAGCUGCGCCUCUUCUCCCUCUCUUCAUCCUGGACUCUCUCACAUAACAAAAUCCCUCCAGCAGAGACAGAUUGGAGAGUGGGCGGUGAUUCAGUGUGGAGUACUCCCUUCCUGUCUGAAGGUGAUGAGUAUAUUUCAACCUCAACCGAUUCCGUAAUAAGAAAUCACGUUGCUGAUUUUCCAAUAUCUACCUCCUGGACAAGUAAUAAAGCCCACCCAUGGGUUGGUCUGUCGUUCCUCCUCCGUCAA
Non-coding RNA from Oryctolagus cuniculus (rabbit), 725 nucleotides. The record is from RefSeq and is a predicted model, not a curated record. Lineage: Eukaryota; Metazoa; Chordata; Mammalia; Lagomorpha; Leporidae.